UUAAUAAAUAUUAUCUAUACAAAUAAUAAUUAUAUUAAAUUAAAUGUCAUGUUAAAUAAUUGUUUUAAAAGUCUUAUGACAAGCCGAAUGGCUAACCUAGCUGAAAGUAAUGCUAUAUGUAUAGUUUUGACAGUUGUGUUGAAUAAUCAAUUUAUUUCAAGAUGCCUGAGGAAGUCACGAUACGUGACGAAACAUUGCAGAAUUGAUAAAUAAAUUAACAUAACAA
Molecule: long non-coding RNA, 226 nt
Organism: Cotesia glomerata
Lineage: Eukaryota; Metazoa; Arthropoda; Insecta; Hymenoptera; Braconidae
Exons: 2
Source: RefSeq, a predicted model, not a curated record